Molecule: long non-coding RNA, 399 nt
Organism: Passer domesticus (house sparrow)
Lineage: Eukaryota; Metazoa; Chordata; Aves; Passeriformes; Passeridae
Exons: 3
Source: RefSeq, a predicted model, not a curated record
GCUCCAGAGCCCUUCAUGGCCUCCUCUGGACUUGCUCCAACAUUUCCAUGUCCUUCUUGUGUUCUGGUGUCACUGCAUUCCAGGCAGGGUCUCACGAGAGCUCUGUGCAGCAAUUGAGUUUUGAAAUCCACAAGGACACCAAGAAGUAACCAUGCCAUUCAUGGGCUGCCCUCAGACUUCUAGUGAGCACUUGCUGUGAAGCUCUUUAAAACAACAAAAAAACCCAUGUUCCUUUAUUUCCUACAUUUGUUUUGCCACCAAGAGCUCACUGUUCUCUUCAGGAUGCCACAGCAAGGAUGUUAUGAUAAGUAAUGAAAAUCUACCAGAUGGCUUUUUAUCUCGAGUCCUCAAUCCAGCAAUGCCUGACAUGUAAUUAAUUUCAUGUAUGUGUAACCACAC